GGAAUGGGUCAGUGGUAAAGCAUCUGCUCGGCAUGCAGAAGAUCCCAGGUUCGGUUCCCAGCAUCUCCA
RNAcentral lists this transfer RNA (69 nucleotides) under Sphaerodactylus townsendi. RNAcentral describes it as "tRNA-Ala". The record is from RNAcentral. Lineage: Eukaryota; Metazoa; Chordata; Lepidosauria; Squamata; Sphaerodactylidae.